GUAGGGUGCGAGCGUUAAUCGGAAUUACUGGGCGUAAAGCGUGCGCAGGCGGUCUGUUAAGACAGAUGUGAAAUCCCCGGGCUUAACCUGGGAACUGCAUUUGUGACUGGCAGGCUAGAGUAUGGCAGAGGGGGGUAGAAUUCCACGUGUAGCAGUGAAAUGCGUAGAGAUGUGGAGGAAUACCGAUGGCGAAGGCAGCCCCCUGGGCCAAUACUGACGCUCAUGCACGAAAGCGUGGGGAGCAAACAGGAUUAGAUACCCUGGUAGUCCACGCCCUAAACGAUGUCAACUAGUUGUUGGGGAUUCAUUUCCUUAGUAACGUAGCUAACGCGUGAAGUUGACCGCCUGGGGGGUACGGUCGCAAGAUUA
This 369-nucleotide ribosomal RNA is filed under the name uncultured bacterium. Its description in RNAcentral is "bacterial SSU rRNA". It matches the Rfam family "Bacterial small subunit ribosomal RNA", at positions 527 to 896 of the family's 1533-position model. The record is from RNAcentral.